Molecule: ribosomal RNA, 433 nt
Filed under: uncultured bacterium
Lineage: Bacteria
Description: partial 16S ribosomal RNA
Rfam family: Bacterial small subunit ribosomal RNA
Source: RNAcentral
AACGAACGCUGGCGGCAUGCCUAACACAUGCAAGUCGAACGAAAUGUUCGGACUUAGUUGCGCCCGGGUUCGUAACGCGUUGGAAUCUGCCCUUGUGUACGGAAUAACUCAGAGAAAUAUGUUCUGAUACCGUAUAAUAUCUUCGGACCAAAGAUUUAUCGCCCAAGGAUGUGCCCGCGUAAGAUUAGCUAGUUGUUGGGGUAAAAGCCUACCAAGGCGACGAUCGUUAGCUGGUCUGAGAGGAGGAUCAGCCACACUGGGACUGAGACACGGCCCAGACUCAUACGGGAGGCAGCAGUGGGGAACAAUGGACAAUCGGCCAAAGUCAGAUACAGCGACGCGGCGUGAAUGAUGAAUGUCAUAGAGCGGCAAAGCUCUGUUGACAGCGAUGAUGAGGACAGUACCUGGAGAAUAAGCUCCGGCUAAAUGAGUG